Molecule: ribosomal RNA, 579 nt
Filed under: uncultured bacterium
Lineage: Bacteria
Description: bacterial SSU rRNA
Rfam family: Bacterial small subunit ribosomal RNA
Source: RNAcentral
CCUACGGGAGGCAGCAGUAAGGAAUAUUGGUCAAUGGAGGCAACUCUGAACCAGCCAUGCCGCGUGCAGGAAGACGGCCCUAUGGGUUGUAAACUGCUUUUGAACUAGAGAAAACCUUGGUACGUGUACCGAGUUGAUAGUAUAGUUAGAAUAAGCAUCGGCUAACUUCGUGCCAGCAGCCGCGGUAAGACGAAGGAUGCAAGCGUUAUCCGGAUUCAUUGGGUUUAAAGGGUGCGUAGGCGGACUGAUAAGUCAGUGGUGAAAUCUCUCAGCUUAACUGAGAAACUGCCAUUGAUACUGUUAGUCUAGAGUACAGAUGAUGUGGGCGGAAUAUGACAUGUAGUGGUGAAAUACUUAGAUAUGUCAUAGAACACCGAUUGCGAAGGCAGCUCACAAAACUGUAACUGACGCUGAGGCACGAAAGUGCGGGGAUCAAACAGGAUUAGAUACCCUGGUAGUCCGCACCGUAAACGAUGAUUACUCGUUGUUGGCGAUAUGACAGUCAGCGACCAAGCGAAGGCGAUAAGAAUCCACCUGGGGAGUACGCCGGCAACGGUGAAACUCAAAGGAAUUAGACGG